GGUACUGUGGCGCAGUGGAUAGCGCAUUGGACUUUUAAUUCAAAGGUUGUGGGGUUCGAUUCCCACCAGAGUCA
Molecule: non-coding RNA, 74 nt
Organism: Nycticebus coucang (slow loris)
Lineage: Eukaryota; Metazoa; Chordata; Mammalia; Primates; Lorisidae
Source: the annotation of a RefSeq genome assembly